Molecule: long non-coding RNA, 3118 nt
Organism: Anopheles gambiae (African malaria mosquito)
Lineage: Eukaryota; Metazoa; Arthropoda; Insecta; Diptera; Culicidae
Exons: 7
Source: RefSeq, a predicted model, not a curated record
GGUUUUCGCGUGUGUUUCGUUCGUGCGCCCAAACUGUCGGCGCACGCAGUCGCGCCACGUGUUGGCCAGAGCGCACACAGGCGACUGGAGCCCAUGGGCCCAACUGCUACCUCACGGCCAAACGGACGAACCGAUUCGCAAUCGCAUUCCAUCGGUGAAACGGUACAGUCGCACGCUCUCUCGCACGGGGUUUCGGCUAGCGCAGUGUGGCGCGACACUUGACUGCACUUUGGUAGGCUCUGGUCUGGCCUGUUGUGGGCUGUUGUGGUGUGUGUCUGAAGUGUGGUGAAGAAUACAUUGGAACAAUCUUUGAUUCUUGUGCUGUGUGACAUAUGCCUUUUGUGAUGUUUCAGUGAUGUCUUCUAGACAGUUGAGUCCUGUUACCUGAUGUUAGGAUACUUGAAAGGAUCUUGUAUGUGUUUUGGUAUUAGUAGUAUCACCGUGAAUACAUAUCAUAGAAUUCGUCAGAAUCUAACCAUUUCCAGUUAAUCCUACAAGAAGACUAUCAUCGGGAGCCGCCUGAAUCGUCAGAUGAACCGCUACGUCGUCGUUGCCCUUUUUUUUUUGAAUGUUAGAAGAUUACGAAACCGGAGGCAAGAUCUAACAAAAACGAAGAAAUUUGCACGAGAACGUCGCGAACACUGCAGCACGCAAAAUGAACCACCACGAGAGAGGAAGAAGGGGUAUAGAGCGCGUGUGUGUGUGUGCGUGUUUCAUUACUCUCCCAUAGUAAGCUGUGCUGCUCCCCUACGCAAAUUUUCGUCGGAGCGUCGUCAUUGCGUGUGUUUGAAGCUGCCAAACCCUGCCCCGAAACGAAAAACGCACCCCAAAAAUUGUUCGAAUAGGGGAGAAUUAGUGAGAAUUCACCAGUGCGUGUGCGUGUGUGUCCAUUUUGAGACGGGGAGAGAGAGAGAGAGAGAGAGAGCAGAAAUUCAUGAGUGCGCUAAACUUCGCGAACGAAACCGAGAGAAGGAGAGAGCUCACAUAAGAGGGGUUAAAAAGAAGGAUGAAGAGAGCGCGUACGUACAGCGGAAUGUAUUCUUGAGCGAAAGCGAGAGGCAUCAGAGCAACCUGAAGCGAGAGAUACAACAGCAAACAAAAAAAAACAGAAAAAACCCGGAAGUACCGCAACCCCCGUUUAUGUCAAAAACGCAACCCCUAUCGUGCGGCGAUCGGGGGUAGGGGUGAGAUCGAGCGCGAGCGUUUCGUGAGAGAAAACUACCGAAAAACCCUCUCCUUCGGCGCGAGAGCGAAACGCGCCCUGGCUCGUGGGGGGAUGUUCAGCGUUCAGGGCAACCGAUCGGAUGCCUCCGGUUUUAUUGAAGUUUGAAUUUGGGCAGCGUUCGGAUCGGGGUAGUACAGCCUCUCGUGCACUGGCUGGCAGCUCGGUCGUGCCUCCGCUGCUCCCCAGUGUGUAUGUGUGUCCGAGUGUGUUCCUGUGUAUGUGUAUGUGUGUGUGUGUGUGUGCACAUACACACGGGGUGAUGGCGCUUUUGCGUUCGCGGCUGGCCGUCACUUUUCCUUGUGAAGGGAUCCUGGACAGUGGUUAGUGCCGCUAGUAGUAGUGCCCGUUUACCGUCGUCGUCCCGUACAGUACGCUUUCUCCACCCGGGUCGUGUGGUGGUCCUUUCGCCGUCCGGUUUGGGGUGCAAUGUCCUUUCGAAUGCUGAACCAACAACAUCAUCAGCAGCAGCAGCCGUAGCCGUAUCCUUAGCAACUAUCUUAGUUUGCAGUGUUAUAAGUGUGAGCUACAUGCAUCGAAGUUUUGUGGAAUCGGAUCGAGAACUAGUAUUUUAGAAGUAGUUUAGAAGUUUGUGUUUUGAGUGAUUUUUUUAAAUAAUGAAACCGGUCGCUAAACUUUCCAGUGUUUGCAGUAAUGGAUGUGCGUGCUUUACUUCCUAUGCCAUCGUUGAGUGCAGUUUUGAGUUGCAAUUUUUCGGCCAGCUGAGUGCAUUCGUUUGAGUCGCUUUGUGUUUCAUCGGUUUUUGCUUGGUUGGUUUCUGUUUUGCAAGUGUAUUGUGGAAUUGAAACGAUUGACACUUCCUUCAAAUCAACGCUGCCGAUGUUUAGUUGCCGCCGUGUACACACAAGAGUGCUGCUUGCAGUGCAUUUUUUGUUAAUUUUCUGUUUGAAUACAACGCUGAGUGUUUGCAAGAAAGCUGCUGCUGCUGCUGUUAUAAAAAAGAUGCUAGUAAUUCACUUUCCCCAUCGGCCCAACCCAACCGCACCAGGCUCCCGAUUAGAAACGUCCUCUUGGUACGGACUGUGGUGGUGACCAAAAGUCAGCUGUAAUUUCGGAGAAUCAACAUCGCCACUGCGCCAUGUACACAGUGCACUCUCACCACCAGUUUACGUGCGUGGCUGUGGGCAAUCACAUCACUUGCUUUUCUAAAUUCAUCAACCGAGCAGCGCGCGUCCUGGACUGCAGUUUGGAGCUGCAAUUUAGCAGACCAUGUCACAGGUGCUACAAACUGAAUGUCGGAAGCGUCGGAUUCUUUAGGCAGAGACCGAGGCUCAAGGGAUAAACCGAAACGCCGAUUAUUUCACCACGGAAGAGCCCGCCGUCCCGGAACGAUAAGUGACCCGCCAUAUCCUUCGCCAAACUACUGUUCACGGGCUCCGAUGGAGCACACACGCGCGGCCCACUCGUAGUUUGGUGUAGAUAAUCUUGGCGAAGACGUUUUGAAGCAAGAGCAAGCGCAGAAGGGAGAAACGAUCACUCAACGGAGCCGGAAACGUUCAACCGCGCCCGUACCAGUUUUUUUGGCCUGUCUACCGGAAGUGCGGCUCGGAAACGCACGUAAAUAAGGAUGGGUAAGAGAUAUUUCCGUUUUUUCCCUUUGAAGAGCAGCGUUCCGAGAGACCAACCGUGGGUAAGAGAGAGAGAUAGAGAGAGUGAGAGAGAGAACGGGUUAGACUGGCAACUGAUUUUCGGGGAGUUUAUUUCAUUUGUGAAUCGCUUCUUUUUUUUUGCUAUACCCGCGCGCACGCCGCGAUUUUCCCACCACCUCCAAUGGGACGUGAGUUUUUCGCUUGCGAUUUACGUUUUCCAGUGAAAAAUAUCUUCCCCAAAUGUGUUUUUGUUCGCUUUCUUCUUUUUGUUUAGCUACUACGCCGA